This 447-nucleotide ribosomal RNA is filed under the name uncultured bacterium. Its description in RNAcentral is "bacterial SSU rRNA". It matches the Rfam family "Bacterial small subunit ribosomal RNA", at positions 329 to 793 of the family's 1533-position model. The record is from RNAcentral.
CACCAGACUCCUACGGGAGGCAGCAGUGGGGAAUAUUGCACAAUGGGGGAAACCCUGAUGCAGCGACGCCGCGUGAGUGAAGAAGUAUUUCGGUAUGUAAAGCUCUAUCAGCAGGGAAGAAGUUGACGGUACCUGAGUAAGAAGCCCCGGCUAACUACGUGCCAGCAGCCGCGGUAAUACGUAGGGGGCAAGCGUUAUCCGGAUUUACUGGGUGUAAAGGGAGCGUAGACGGCAGUGCAAGUCUGAAGUGAAAGCCCCGGGCUUAACCCGGGAAUUGCUUUGGAAACUGUACGGCUGGAGUGCUGGAGAGGUAAGCGGAAUUCCUAGUGUAGCGGUGAAAUGCGUAGAUAUUAGGAGGAACACCAGUGGCGAAGGCGGCUUACUGGACUGUAACUGACGUUGAGGCUCGAAAGCGUGGGGAGCAGACAGGAUUAGAUACCCCGGUAC